Molecule: ribosomal RNA, 390 nt
Filed under: Ciona sp.
Lineage: Eukaryota; Metazoa; Chordata; Ascidiacea; Phlebobranchia; Cionidae
Description: partial small subunit ribosomal RNA
Rfam family: Eukaryotic small subunit ribosomal RNA
Source: RNAcentral
AUUCCAGCUCCAAAAGUAUAUAUUUAAGUUGUUGCGGUUGAAAAGCUCGUAGUUGGAUUUUGGGCGCGGGCGGUCGGUCCGUCGCGAGGCGUGUACUGGUCGACCCGGCCUUACGUCCGGUUCUCCGGCGGUGCUCUUGACUGAGUGUCGGCGGCGGCCGGAAAGUUUACUUUGAAAAAAUUAGAGUGUUCAAAGCAGGCUCUCGAGCCUGGAUAAUGGUGCAUGGAAUAAUGGAAUAGGACCUCGGUUCUAUUUUGUUGGUUUUCGGAGCGCGAGGUAAUGAUUAAGAGGGACAGACGGGGGCAUUCGUACUGUGCCGUUAGAGGUGAAAUUCUUGGAUCGGCGCAAGACGAACGACUGCGAAAGCAUUUGCCAAGAAUGUUUUCAUCG